UCUUCGGCGUUCGAGUUGUAAUUUGAAGAUAUUUUCUCCGAGCAGUCCUUUAUCUAUGUUCCUUGGAACAGGACGUCAUAGAGGGUGAGAAUCCCGUAUGAUUUGGGCUCCUGCUCUUUUGUGAGAUUUUAUCGAAGAGUCGAGUUGUUUGGGAAUGCAGCUCUAAGUGGGUGGUAAAUUCCAUCUAAAGCUAAAUAUUGGCGAGAGACCGAUAGCGAACAAGUACAGUGAUGGAAAGAUGAAAAGAACUCUGAAGAGAGAGUGAAAAAGUACGUGAAAUUGCUGAAAGGGAAGGGCUUGAGGUCAGACUUGGUGUUUUACGAUUAUCUUCCCCUUGUGGGUUGUGCACUCGUUUCUCACUGGGCCAACAUCAGUUUUUCUUGCGGAGCACGCUUAGGAAUGUGGCUCUCUUCGGAGAGUGUUAUAGCCUUUGUACGAUUCGCUUGGGAGACUGAGGACUGCGCAUUAUGCUAGGAUGUUGGCGUAAUGACCUUAAGCCGCCCGUCUUGAAACACGGACCAAGGAGUCUAACGUCUAUGCAAGUGUUUGGGUGUUAAACCCGUACGCGUAAUGAAAGUGAACGUAGGUUGGGGCCUUCGGGUGCACAAUCGACCGAUCCUGAUGUUUUCAGAUGGAUUUGAGUAAGAGCAUAGCUGUUGGGACCCGAAAGAUGGUGAACUAUGCCUGAAUAGGGUGAAGCCAGAGGAAACUCUGGUGGAAGCUCGUAGCGGUUCUGACGUGCAAAUCGAUCGUCGA
RNAcentral lists this ribosomal RNA (756 nucleotides) under Saccharomycopsis microspora. RNAcentral's name for it is "partial large subunit ribosomal RNA". It matches the Rfam family "Eukaryotic large subunit ribosomal RNA", at positions 128 to 908 of the family's 3401-position model. The record is from RNAcentral. Lineage: Eukaryota; Fungi; Ascomycota; Saccharomycetes; Ascoideales; Saccharomycopsidaceae.